RNAcentral lists this ribosomal RNA (458 nucleotides) under uncultured bacterium. RNAcentral describes it as "partial 16S ribosomal RNA". It matches the Rfam family "Bacterial small subunit ribosomal RNA", at positions 338 to 795 of the family's 1533-position model. The record is from RNAcentral.
CCUACGGGUGGCAGCAGUGGGGAAUAUUGCACAAUGGGGGAAACCCUGAUGCAGUGACGCCGCGUGAGUGAAGAAGUAAUUCGUUACGUAAAGCUCUAUCAGCAGGGAAGAAACACUGACCUUACGGUCAGCAGACGGUAUCUUAGUAAGAAGCCCCGGCUACCUACGUGCCAGCAGCCGCGGUAAUACGUAGGGGGCAAGCGUUAUCCGGAUUUUCUGGGUGGAAAGGGAGCGUAGACGGUGCGCCAAGUCUGGAGGGAAAUGCCGCGGCUUAACUGCGGAACUGCUGUGGAAACUGGAGAUCUAGAGUGCGGGAGAGGUAAGCGGAAUUCCUAGUGGAGCGGUGAAAUGCGUAGAUAUCAGGAGGAACACCGGUGGCGAAGGCGGCUUACUGGACCGUAACUGACGUUGAGGCUCGAAAGCGUGGGGAGCAAACAGGAUUAGAUACCCCAGUAGUC